GUGGCAGUGCGUGGCGUGGUUACGCUGUCCGCUUUGUAAGCGGAUGAUUCUGGGUUCGAUUCCCAUCUGCUGCA
Molecule: transfer RNA, 74 nt
Organism: Culex pipiens (northern house mosquito)
Lineage: Eukaryota; Metazoa; Arthropoda; Insecta; Diptera; Culicidae
Rfam family: tRNA
About the family: Transfer RNA (tRNA) molecules are approximately 80 nucleotides in length.
Source: Rfam